GGAAAAAAAAAGAAUGAGAGUAGGCAACUUGAGUGUGAGUGUGCGCGUUGGCGAGAUAUUUACAAUUUUAAUUAUUUUUCACGGAGAAAUUAUUCAUUAAAAGUGAUUUAGUACACGUUUAUUUCACCGUGACGUCUUUGAAGAAACUAAACUAGCAAUAUAUAUGUAGAUGGAUUACAACAAUAUUUUUACAAGUAGAUAAAGAAUAAAAAUAAGGACAAAAGAGUUAUCGAAAAAAGUUAUGAGUACUAGAACAUAUAUUGAUGGAUAAUAUUGUACGUAUACAAUAAUUCAAAUAAAAAAACAAUGAUUAUAGUAAUGGUAAAAAUACUGAAAAAUAAAAAAUGAUAACAAUAAAAUCUGUUGAA
Molecule: long non-coding RNA, 368 nt
Organism: Microplitis mediator
Lineage: Eukaryota; Metazoa; Arthropoda; Insecta; Hymenoptera; Braconidae
Exons: 3
Source: RefSeq, a predicted model, not a curated record